RNAcentral lists this small nuclear RNA (105 nucleotides) under Otolemur garnettii (small-eared galago). Lineage: Eukaryota; Metazoa; Chordata; Mammalia; Primates; Galagidae. The record is from RNAcentral.
GUGAUUGCUUCUGCAGCACACUUACUAAAAGUGAAGUGACAUGGAGAUUAGCAUGGCCCCUGCUCAGAGAUGACACUCAAGCACAAUGUGAUUGUUCCAUAAAAA